GGAGGAAUACCCAAGUCCGGCUGAAGGGAUCGGUCUUGAAAACCGACAGGAGCUUAACGGCUCGCGAGGGUUCGAAUCCCUCUUCCUCCG
This 90-nucleotide transfer RNA is filed under the name Staphylococcus sp. HMSC062C01. RNAcentral's name for it is "tRNA-Ser". It matches the Rfam family "tRNA". Rfam says of the family: Transfer RNA (tRNA) molecules are approximately 80 nucleotides in length. Their secondary structure includes four short double-helical elements and three loops (D, anti-codon, and T loops). Lineage: Bacteria; Bacillati; Bacillota; Bacilli; Caryophanales; Staphylococcaceae. The record is from RNAcentral.